Molecule: long non-coding RNA, 807 nt
Organism: Ricinus communis (castor bean)
Lineage: Eukaryota; Viridiplantae; Streptophyta; Magnoliopsida; Malpighiales; Euphorbiaceae
Exons: 2
Source: RefSeq, a predicted model, not a curated record
AUAUAAAUUACUAUUUUCUAGAAUUAGACUGUAAUAUCCUAAAAUAAUAAUAAAUAAAUAAAUAUUUUUUUUCUUUUCUUCCCCCUCCUCUUUUUUUUUCUUUUUCUUCCUUUCUUCCCUCUCCCCUGUGUCGCCUCCUUUCCUUUUCGCGCCUGCCCCCGCCGACACUCUCCCCCCUUUCCCCUCCCUUACUAGUGCCACCUUCUCCUUCCUUCCCCCUUGUUGCUGACAUCAAGCGUGGGAAAGAAGAGCAGCCCCGCCGAAACAACCUCUUGCUGCCGUUCUUUCGCUCGCUCGACGUUGGAAAUGAGCUCCCUACCGUCGAAAAACCCUGAGCCGAGCUUCCUAGCCGUGUCAUCCCUGCCGGCAGUAGUGUGCAGCCUUGCUGGAGUUGAGACUUUUCGGCCUCAAUCCGAUGGCUUCGGGCGAGUUUCCGACAAAAGCAGUUACGUUUUCGGACUCUCCGCAAUUCAAGCUUCGCAUGGGCGUUUCCUGAUUCGAAAUUUGACACCAUUGGCAGCACCGGUUUUCGGACCUGGUGUUUUCCAGACGCCCAAAAUUUUAGAUUUUCAGCUUGGUGACAGUUAGGUUCUCCAUCGUCUUUCGCUUGAUAGCCCGAUUUUCUUCUCCUUCGGACUUAUUGUAAUUAAUUUUUAUUUUUACAUUUUGAAUUAUUUAAAAUUUUAAACUCUCCGCAGUAGUAUACGUUGCAUAUUUUGUUUGAUUUUAGUAUGUAACAAAUUAUGGAAUGUUUGCUAGCAUCCAGCUAGAGAUUUGUGAAUAAAAUGUUGGGCUGAUUUAAUAGUA